Molecule: ribosomal RNA, 497 nt
Filed under: uncultured bacterium
Lineage: Bacteria
Description: partial 16S ribosomal RNA
Rfam family: Bacterial small subunit ribosomal RNA
Source: RNAcentral
GAUGAACGCUGGCGGCGUGCCUAAUACAUGCAAGUCGAGCGAACAGACGAGGAGCUUGCUCCUCUGACGUUAGCGGCGGACGGGUGAGUAACACGUGGAUAACCUACCUAUAAGACUGGGAUAACUUCGGGAAACCGGAGCUAAUACCGGAUAAUAUAUUGAACCGCAUGGUUCAAUAGUGAAAGACGGUUUUGCUGUCACUUAUAGAUGGAUCCGCGCCGCAUUAGCUAGUUGGUAAGGUAACGGCUUACCAAGGCAACGAUGCGUAGCCGACCUGAAAGGGUGACCGGCCACACUGGAACUGAGACAAGGUCCAGACUCCUACGGGAGGCAGCAGUAGGGAAUCUUCCGAAAUGGGCGAAAGCCUGACGGAGCAACGCCGCGUGAGUGAUGAAGGUCUUCGGAUCGUAAAACUCUGUUAUUAGGGAAGAACAAAUGUGUAAGUAACUAUGCACGUCUUGACGGUACCUAAUCAGAAAGCCACGGCUAACUACGUG